Molecule: ribosomal RNA, 265 nt
Filed under: uncultured bacterium
Lineage: Bacteria
Description: partial small subunit ribosomal RNA
Rfam family: Bacterial small subunit ribosomal RNA
Source: RNAcentral
AGGAUAAACGCUGGCGGCGUGCCUAAUGCAUGCAAGUCGAACGGAGUAGGCCUUCGGGCAUACUGAGUGGCGGACGGGUGAGGAACACGUACGAGACCUGCCCUCGGAUGGGGAAUAAGCCCUCGAAAAGGGGGUCUAAUGCCGCAUACGGUCCCAAGCAGCAAGGUUUGGGAGGAAAGCUCGAGAGGGCGUCCGAGGAGGGGCGUGCGGCCGAUUAGCUAGUUGGUGGGGUAAAGGCCUACCAAGGCGACGAUCGGUAGCUGGU